GGACGAACGCUGGCGGCGUGCUUAACCCAUGCACGUCGAACGGAAAGGCCCUGCUUUUGUGGGGUGCUCGAGUGGCGAACGGGUGAGUAACACGUGAGUAACCUGCCCUUGACUUUGGGAUAACUUCAGGAAACUGGGGCUAAUACCGGAUAGGAGCUCCUGCUGCAUGGUGGGGGUUGGAAAGUUUCGGCGGUUGGGGAUGGACUCGCGGCUUAUCAGCUUGUUGGUGGGGUAGUGGCUUACCAAGGCUUUGACGGGUAGCCGGCCUGAGAGGGUGACCGGCCACAUUGGGACUGAGAUACGGCCCAGACUCCUACGGGAGGCAGCAGUGGGGAAUAUUGCACAAUGGGCGGAAGCCUGAUGCAGCAACGCCGCGUGCGGGAUGACGGCCUUCGGGUUGUAAACCGCUUUCGCCUGUGACGAAGCGUGAGUGACGGUAAUGGGUAAAGAAGCACCGGCUAACUACGUG
Molecule: ribosomal RNA, 469 nt
Filed under: uncultured bacterium
Lineage: Bacteria
Description: partial 16S ribosomal RNA
Rfam family: Bacterial small subunit ribosomal RNA
Source: RNAcentral